Tachysurus vachellii is the source of this 764-nucleotide long non-coding RNA. RefSeq lists it as uncharacterized. The transcript is spliced from 3 exons. The record is from RefSeq and is a predicted model, not a curated record. NCBI's taxonomy places the organism in Eukaryota, Metazoa, Chordata, Actinopteri, Siluriformes, Bagridae.
UGCCAGUAGAGAAAAACAAGAAACAAAAGCAUAGCAUUUACAUAACAGCUUUCCUUGUCUCUCCUCUGUGUUUGUCCAGACUGAGGCAUUUCAGUGCUUCCUUGUCCGAAGCAGGGCCUGCGAGACUACUGCACCUCUCCAUGGUGACUCGGCAGCAGUGGGAUCUGCUUGUUUUAAAUGAAUCAUGAGGAUGGAGGCAGCCAGCCACAGCCCAGCUUGUAUCAAAUGAUCCUGCAGCAAGCCCACGUCACGUAGCCUACUGCUGAAAAGAGGUUCCCACGCGUCCUGGAAAACCUGGAAAUUCUGGAAAAUUAAUGACCAAUGUUCCAGUCCUGGAAAACACAUGGAAAAUGAAAGAAAACAUAAACUGUCCUGGAAAAAAUCUUGUUGUCCUGGAAAAUUAUUAUUUUUAAAUGUUCUUGAUCAUUUAAAGAUCAUCUUGAUCAUUUAAAAAUUAGUAACAGAAAGCGCUCUCUUCAGGGACGCUGGGUUUUGACGGGUUUUUUGUUAUGCUGUUUAAUCUCGCUGUGACGGAUGACGCUGUCUUGUGUUGGCGGUUUCCGGUGCUAGGAAUGGUUUAAGUGCUCGAAUGUUUUCAGCAAAUGGUGACGGGUAAGCAGGUUAUAUUAACCUUGUUAAUCUGAAUAUCAUGUGCAAGGGGAAUGCACAGCAAACUAAAGCAUGCAUGACGGCAUUGGCCUGAGAAAGGAAAGGGUAUUAAUAUAUGCGGUCUUUUUAUUUUAUAAAUGUUGAAAUUUCAUUCA